Molecule: ribosomal RNA, 466 nt
Filed under: uncultured bacterium
Lineage: Bacteria
Description: partial 16S ribosomal RNA
Rfam family: Bacterial small subunit ribosomal RNA
Source: RNAcentral
GACGAACGCUGGCGGCGUGCUUAACACAUGCAAGUCGUGCGGUAAGGCCCUUUCGGGGGUACACGAGCGGCGAACGGGUGAGUAACACGUGAGCAACCUGCCCUUCACUUUGGGAUAACUGCCGGAAACGGUGGCUAAUACCGGAUAUGACUUCCUCACGCAUGUGGGGUGGUGGAAAGCCUUCGGGUGGUGGGGGAUGGGCUCGCGGUCUAUCAGCUUGUUGGUGGGGUGAUGGCCUACCAAGGCUUCGACGGGUAGCCGGCCUGAGAGGGUGACCGGCCACACUGGGACUGAGACACGGCCCAGACUCCUACGGGAGGCAGCAGUGGGGAAUAUUGGACAAUGGGCGAAAGCCUGAUCCAGCAACGCCGCGUGAGGGAUGACGGCCUUCGGGUUGUAAACCGCUUUCGCCUGCGACGAAGCGAGAGUGACGGUAGCAGGUAAAGAAGCACCGGCCAACUACGUG